UGGCAGCCAGGAGCACUCUGUGGACUUGAGUCAGGAGAGGGAGAAAAAUUCAGCAUCUGAUUUCAGCAUCAGCUGUAUCAUCAAAACUUCUUUAGAAUCAUUAUUAUUACCAUCAUCACCAUUGUUAUCAUCAAGUUACUCAAAAACAGAAUACUGGGUCUACUCCAGAUUGAUCCCUGGCAAACCCCCAUAAAACCACAAACAUUGUCUCCUCUAUCGUUGCUUCAGUACAUAGUCAUGACAGGUUUCAUUUCAGUCUACUCACCAUGGAAUGAUGUUCCUCCAACCUCCAGCUCCACAUCACAGCCCACUCUCUCUGCCCACAGCUCUCUGAUGGACUGAAGACUGACCUUCAUAUGUUCUUCAGCAGAGAUCUUCUUCUCUUCUGCCCUCUUCUCUACUCCCUUCUUCAUUUUCUCCUCCUCUUCACUGCAGAGUUCUAGUACUCUGGGGGCCCCUAGUGUUGUAGCUGCAGUCUGUAUCUGGGCCAGUGUGUGUCUGUUCAGAGCUGCUAAGCCCCCAGUGUAGGCAAACUCCACUACCCCUGCCAGCCCCACAAGCCCCACUUCAGGACCCAGACUGAUGAAUAUCUCUGUCUUUAUGUCCAUGUCAACAUCUCUCCUCCCCCUCCUCUUCUCCAUCUCUUCAUCCCUCUCUUGCAGUCUCUGGUGAACAAGGGUACUCACAGCAGCCAGGACAGGGGAGUGUGCAUAAAGAUGCUGCCCAGCCUCAGUGCUCAGAGUCAGGUCAGUGAGGAGAGAGGAGUCCCUGAGCUGCUCCAGACCCUGGAAUACCUCUUUAGGAUAGGCAUCUUUUUGACGCCUGGGAGAGGAGUCUAUGUCUUCGGAUUCUCUGCUUUCAAUCAUGCCAGUGCACACACCACUGCUGUGAGUUUAUGUCAUAACGGGCAAACAAUAGUCUCUAUCCAUGACCAGAAGUCACGGACCACAGGUGACACUUCAUUCAACAGUGCCUCCAUUCUGAGGGAAGAGGGAGACCAGGUCUACAUGCGUCUGUGGGCAAACAUGAGGGUCUUUGAUGACCACCUCAUUUACAAUACCUUCAGUGGUCACCUCCUUUAUCUUAUGUAA
RNAcentral lists this long non-coding RNA (1091 nucleotides) under Oncorhynchus mykiss (rainbow trout). RNAcentral describes it as "lncRNA (ENSOMYG00000072785.1)". The record is from RNAcentral. Lineage: Eukaryota; Metazoa; Chordata; Actinopteri; Salmoniformes; Salmonidae.